RNAcentral lists this ribosomal RNA (958 nucleotides) under Ancylostoma tubaeforme. Its description in RNAcentral is "16S ribosomal RNA". Lineage: Eukaryota; Metazoa; Nematoda; Chromadorea; Rhabditida; Ancylostomatidae. The record is from RNAcentral.
UAAAUAUUGUUUUUUUAUUUUUUGGUAUUGCAUAUCAUUUAAAGAAAAUUUUAUAAUAAUAAAAUAUAGAAUUAAAAGGUAGAAAUUUUUUUAUUUUUAUUGUUUCAUAAUAAAAAUUAAAAAUUUUAGGGUUGAAAAGUCGACUUUUAGUAUAUCUGUUUAUUAUUUUUUAUUAGAAAUUUAUAAAGUUUUUUGUAUUAUUUGUAGAUAGUAAAAGUUGAAGUAUUUUUAUUUUUAGUUUUAUAACUGUUUAUAAUUUUUUUAUUUUGUUUUGUGAAAUAUUCAUUAAUUUUUUAAUGAUUAAAUUAUUUUAAAAUUAGUAAAUUUAAAAAAUGUAGUUAAUAAUUUUAAUUUAAUUAAAUAACUAAAGAGUUAAUCAAAUGUUUUUUAAAGACUUAGACUUUUAAAUAAAGUUUGCUUCUGCCCAAUGAUUUAUUAAAUGGCAGUCUUAGCGUGAGGACAUUAAGGUAGCAAAAUAAUUUGUGCUUUUAUUGAGUUCCAGUAUGAAUGAAGUUAUUGGUUAAUUAUUUUUUUAUUUUUUUUUUGAAUUUUAUUACAGUAUAAAAAAAUAUUGUUAUAAUUAUACAAAGAUAAGUCUUCGGAAAUUCUUUUAAAAAUUUUAUAAGUUUAUUAUUAAGUUUUUAAAUUUUCUAGGGCAGAAUUUUAUAUAAUUUAUUAAUCUAUUAAUAAAUUUUAGAAUUACUCCGGAGUUAACAGAAAAUCAUACCUAAUCUAGUUCUUAUAGUAAGGUAAGUUUUACAUCGAUGUUGUAUUUAAGUUUAUUAAAAAAGGAGAAGAUUUAAUUUUUAAGACUGUUCUUCUUUAAUUUAACUUAACGUGAUAUUAGUUUAAUUCAUUGUGAGAUAGAAUUGUUUAUCUUGAUAAUUAUUUAUUUAUAAUUUUAAUAGUACGAAAGGAAAAUUAAAAAAGGUUUAAAACUUUAAAAGGUUUGUCCUUA